Long non-coding RNA from Gossypium arboreum, 268 nucleotides. RefSeq lists it as uncharacterized. Lineage: Eukaryota; Viridiplantae; Streptophyta; Magnoliopsida; Malvales; Malvaceae. The record is from RefSeq and is a predicted model, not a curated record. The transcript has 2 exons.
UAGGGCGUGCCCAUGGUUUAUGCUCGGAGAAAAGCUGGAUGAAUUUUUGUGGACUAAGAAGAUUGGUAGAAAAAGUCAUAGACUAAGGAGAUCCUGGAGGGUAUUUAAAGAGGCUUUGGGGCAUGACAAAAGGAGAACAACACUUUCACAUUUCAUUUUGCUAUUAUUUUUCUCUUCAUGGAUUGUUAAACUCUUCAUUCUAGUCAGGGGUUUCAUCAAGGGUUUUGAUUCAUUGAAUUGUGAGAUUAUUGCUCUUCGUGUUUUUAGA